RNAcentral lists this transfer RNA (60 nucleotides) under Gymnema sylvestre. RNAcentral's name for it is "partial tRNA-Phe". It matches the Rfam family "tRNA", at positions 1 to 59 of the family's 71-position model. Rfam says of the family: Transfer RNA (tRNA) molecules are approximately 80 nucleotides in length. The record is from RNAcentral. Lineage: Eukaryota; Viridiplantae; Streptophyta; Magnoliopsida; Gentianales; Apocynaceae.
GUCGGGAUAGCUCAGCUGUAGAGCAGAGGACAAAAAAUCCUCGUGUCACCAGUUCAAAUC